This 480-nucleotide ribosomal RNA is filed under the name Triticum aestivum (bread wheat). RNAcentral's name for it is "partial small subunit ribosomal RNA". Lineage: Eukaryota; Viridiplantae; Streptophyta; Magnoliopsida; Poales; Poaceae. The record is from RNAcentral.
AUGGCGGGGCGCUCGCCGUCGCCGAGCCAAGCCGGAGCAACGCCCAACCGCCUAAAGCGCAAGGCCCCUGCAUCUUCCGCCGUCGCCUCCUCCUCCACCUCCUUAGGGGCGGACCAGGCGGCGGACGAGGAGGACAUUGAGGAGCUGGAGAGGGAGGUUGCCGAUCUGGGCCGCCGGAUACUCGAGCACCGCCGUGACGCCGCCGCCCGCUUCAUAGACGCUACAGUAUCGCGCCUCGACGCCCUUCGCCCGCCCGCCUGCGUAGAAGUUCCAGUUGAAGCGCAAUCUGCAGCUGGAGCCUCGCACGCCGAAGCUGAACAAGCUACGCUUGAAAAGCUAAAUAUGUUCAAGUCCAAGACCGAGGCAAAUAUCGCGGCCAUGCCCAAUCUACUGGAGAAAAUGAAGCAAUGUGUUGCUCGCAUGGAGAAGGUGGAGCAACUGAAUGUGAAUAUACAUCCUGUGUUUCAAAGAAAACGGUAG